Felis catus (domestic cat) is the source of this 85-nucleotide transfer RNA. It matches the Rfam family "tRNA". Rfam says of the family: Transfer RNA (tRNA) molecules are approximately 80 nucleotides in length. The record is from Rfam. Lineage: Eukaryota; Metazoa; Chordata; Mammalia; Carnivora; Felidae.
GCCUGGGUGGCUCAGUCGGUUAAGCGUCCGACUUCCGCUCAAGUCAUGAUCUCACGGUCCGUGGGUUCAAGCCCCGCCUCGGGCU